GUGGGGAAUUUUGGACAAUGGGCGAAAGCCUGAUCCAGCCAUGCCGCGUGCAGGAUGAAGGCCUUCGGGUUGUAAACUGCUUUUGUACGGAACGAAAAGACUCCUUCUAAUAAAGGGGGUCCAUGACGGUACCGUAAGAAUAAGCACCGGCUAACUACGUGCCAGCAGCCGCGGUAAUACGUAGGGUGCAAGCGUUAAUCGGAAUUACUGGGCGUAAAGCGUGCGCAGGCGGUUAUAUAAGACAGAUGUGAAAUCCCCGGGCUCAACCUGGGAACUGCAUUUGUGACUGUAUAGCUAGAGUACGGUAGAGGGGGAUGGAAUUCCGCGUGUAGCAGUGAAAUGCGUAGAUAUGCGGAGGAACACCAAUGGCGAAGGCAAUCCCCUGGGCCUGUACUGACGCUCAUGCACGAAAGCGUGGGGAGCAAACAGGAUUAGAAACCCCUGUAGUCC
This 450-nucleotide ribosomal RNA is filed under the name uncultured bacterium. RNAcentral describes it as "partial 16S ribosomal RNA". It matches the Rfam family "Bacterial small subunit ribosomal RNA", at positions 354 to 796 of the family's 1533-position model. The record is from RNAcentral.